RNAcentral lists this ribosomal RNA (614 nucleotides) under uncultured bacterium. RNAcentral's name for it is "bacterial SSU rRNA". It matches the Rfam family "Bacterial small subunit ribosomal RNA", at positions 338 to 959 of the family's 1533-position model. The record is from RNAcentral.
CCUACGGGAGGCAGCAGUAAGGAAUAUUGGACAAUGCUCGCAAGAGUGAUCCAGCCACGCCGCGUGCAGGAAGAAUGCCCUAUGGGUAGUAAACUGCUUUUGAACUAGAGAAAACCCCAGUACGUGUACUGGGCUGAUAGUAUAGUUAGAAUAAGCAUCGGCUAACUUCGUGCCAGCAGCCGCGGUAAGACGAAGGAUGCAAGCGUUAUCCGGAUUCAUUGGGUUUAAAGGGAGCGUAGGUGGACUGAUAAGUCAGUGGUGAAAUCUCCGAGCUUAACUCGGAAAUUGCCAUUGAUACUGUUGGUCUUGAGUACAGUUGCUGUGGGCGGAAUAUGACAUGUAGUGGUGAAAUACAUAGAGAUGUCAUAGAACACCGAUUGCGAAGGCAGCUCACAAAGCUGUAACUGACACUGAGGCUCGAAAGUGCGGGGAUCAAACAGGAUUAGAUACCCUGGUAGUCCGCACCGUAAACGAUGAUUACUCGCUGCUAGGGGGCAACCUUUAGUGGCUUAGCGAAAGCGAUAAGUAAUCCACCUGGGGAGUACGCCGGCAACGGUGAAACUAGAAGUAGUAGACGNGAGAGAGCGACGGACGACGACGACGGAGGGAGGAGG